This 253-nucleotide ribosomal RNA is filed under the name uncultured bacterium. RNAcentral describes it as "partial 16S ribosomal RNA". It matches the Rfam family "Bacterial small subunit ribosomal RNA", at positions 524 to 776 of the family's 1533-position model. The record is from RNAcentral.
GACGGAGGAUGCAAGCGUUAUCCGGAAUGAUUGGGCGUAAAGCGUCCGCAGGUGGCUGUGUAAGUCUGCUGUUAAAGAAUGAGGCUCAACCUCAUAAAGGCAGUGGAAACUACAUGGCUAGAGUGCGUUCGGGGCAGAGGGAAUUCCUGGUGUAGCGGUGAAAUGCGUAGAGAUCAGGAAGAACACCGGUGGCGAAAGCGCUCUGCUAGGCCGCAACUGACACUGAGGGACGAAAGCUAGGGGAGCGAAUGGG